GGUUAAGCGACUAAGCGUACACGGUGGAUGCCCUGGCAGUCAGAGGCGAUGAAGGACGUGCUAAUCUGCGAUAAGCGUCGGUAAGGUGAUAUGAACCGUUAUAACCGGCGAUUUCCGAAUGGGGAAACCCAGUGUGUUUCGACACACUAUCAUUAACUGAAUCCAUAGGUUAAUGAGGCGAACCGGGGGAACUGAAACAUCUAAGUACCCCGAGGAAAAGAAAUCAACCGAGAUUCCCCCAGUAGCGGCGAGCGAACGGGGAGCAGCCCAGAGCCUGAAUCAGUGUGUGUGUUAGUGGAAGCGUCUGGAAAGGCGCGCGAUACAGGGUGACAGCCCCGUACACAAAAAUGCACAUGCUGUGAGCUCGAUGAGUAGGGCGGGACACGUGGUAUCCUGUCUGAAUAUGGGGGGACCAUCCUCCAAGGCUAAAUACUCCUGACUGACCGAUAGUGAACCAGUACCGUGAGGGAAAGGCGAAAAGAACCCCGGCGAGGGGAGUGAAAAAGAACCUGAAACCGUGUACGUACAAGCAGUGGGAGCCUCUUUUAUGGGGUGACUGCGUACCUUUUGUAUAAUGGGUCAGCGACUUAUAUUCUGUAGCAAGGUUAACCGAAUAGGGGAGCCGAAGGGAAACCGAGUCUUAACUGGGCGUUAAGUUGCAGGGUAUAGACCCGAAACCCGGUGAUCUAGCCAUGGGCAGGUUGAAGGUUGGGUAACACUAACUGGAGGACCGAACCGACUAAUGUUGAAAAAUUAGCGGAUGACUUGUGGCUGGGGGUGAAAGGCCAAUCAAACCGGGAGAUAGCUGGUUCUCCCCGAAAGCUAUUUAGGUAGCGCCUCGUGAAUUCAUCUCCGGGGGUAGAGCACUGUUUCGGCAAGGGGGUCAUCCCGACUUACCAACCCGAUGCAAACUGCGAAUACCGGAGAAUGUUAUCACGGGAGACACACGGCGGGUGCUAACGUCCGUCGUGAAGAGGGAAACAACCCAGACCGCCAGCUAAGGUCCCAAAGUCAUGGUUAAGUGGGAAACGAUGUGGGAAGGCCCAGACAGCCAGGAUGUUGGCUUAGAAGCAGCCAUCAUUUAAAGAAAGCGUAAUAGCUCACUGGUCGAGUCGGCCUGCGCGGAAGAUGUAACGGGGCUAAACCAUGCACCGAAGCUGCGGCAGCGACACUAUGUGUUGUUGGGUAGGGGAGCGUUCUGUAAGCCUGCGAAGGUGUGCUGUGAGGCAUGCUGGAGGUAUCAGAAGUGCGAAUGCUGACAUAAGUAACGAUAAAGCGGGUGAAAAGCCCGCUCGCCGGAAGACCAAGGGUUCCUGUCCAACGUUAAUCGGGGCAGGGUGAGUCGACCCCUAAGGCGAGGCCGAAAGGCGUAGUCGAUGGGAAACAGGUUAAUAUUCCUGUACUUGGUGUUACUGCGAAGGGGGGACGGAGAAGGCUAUGUUGGCCGGGCGACGGUUGUCCCGGUUUAAGCGUGUAGGCUGGUUUUCCAGGCAAAUCCGGAAAAUCAAGGCUGAGGCGUGAUGACGAGGCACUACGGUGCUGAAGCAACAAAUGCCCUGCUUCCAGGAAAAGCCUCUAAGCAUCAGGUAACAUCAAAUCGUACCCCAAACCGACACAGGUGGUCAGGUAGAGAAUACCAAGGCGCUUGAGAGAACUCGGGUGAAGGAACUAGGCAAAAUGGUGCCGUAACUUCGGGAGAAGGCACGCUGAUAUGUAGGUGAAGUCCCUCGCGGAUGGAGCUGAAAUCAGUCGAAGAUACCAGCUGGCUGCAACUGUUUAUUAAAAACACAGCACUGUGCAAACACGAAAGUGGACGUAUACGGUGUGACGCCUGCCCGGUGCCGGAAGGUUAAUUGAUGGGGUCAGCGCAAGCGAAGCUCUUGAUCGAAGCCCCGGUAAACGGCGGCCGUAACUAUAACGGUCCUAAGGUAGCGAAAUUCCUUGUCGGGUAAGUUCCGACCUGCACGAAUGGCGUAAUGAUGGCCAGGCUGUCUCCACCCGAGACUCAGUGAAAUUGAACUCGCUGUGAAGAUGCAGUGUACCCGCGGCAAGACGGAAAGACCCCGUGAACCUUUACUAUAGCUUGACACUGAACAUUGAGCCUUGAUGUGUAGGAUAGGUGGGAGGCUUUGAAGUGUGGACGCCAGUCUGCAUGGAGCCGACCUUGAAAUACCACCCUUUAAUGUUUGAUGUUCUAACGUGGACCCGUAAUCCGGGUUGCGGACAGUGUCUGGUGGGUAGUUUGACUGGGGCGGUCUCCUCCUAAAGAGUAACGGAGGAGCACGAAGGUUGGCUAAUCCUGGUCGGACAUCAGGAGGUUAGUGCAAUGGCAUAAGCCAGCUUGACUGCGAGCGUGACGGCGCGAGCAGGUGCGAAAGCAGGUCAUAGUGAUCCGGUGGUUCUGAAUGGAAGGGCCAUCGCUCAACGGAUAAAAGGUACUCCGGGGAUAACAGGCUGAUACCGCCCAAGAGUUCAUAUCGACGGCGGUGUUUGGCACCUCGAUGUCGGCUCAUCACAUCCUGGGGCUGAAGUAGGUCCCAAGGGUAUGGCUGUUCGCCAUUUAAAGUGGUACGCGAGCUGGGUUUAGAACGUCGUGAGACAGUUCGGUCCCUAUCUGCCGUGGGCGCUGGAGAACUGAGGGGGGCUGCUCCUAGUACGAGAGGACCGGAGUGGACGCAUCACUGGUGUUCGGGUUGUCAUGCCAAUGGCACUGCCCGGUAGCUAAAUGCGGAAGAGAUAAGUGCUGAAAGCAUCUAAGCACGAAACUUGCCCCGAGAUGAGUUCUCCCUGACUCCUUGAGAGUCCUGAAGGAACGUUGAAGACGACGACGUUGAUAGGCCGGGUGUGUAAGCGCAGCGAUGCGUUGAGCUAACCGGUACUAAUGAACCGUGAGGCUUAACCUU
Molecule: ribosomal RNA, 2903 nt
Filed under: Shigella flexneri
Lineage: Bacteria; Pseudomonadati; Pseudomonadota; Gammaproteobacteria; Enterobacterales; Enterobacteriaceae
Description: 23S ribosomal RNA
Rfam family: Bacterial large subunit ribosomal RNA
Source: RNAcentral